UACAGAGGUCCCAAGCGUUGUUCGGAUUCACUGGGCGUAAAGGGUGCGUAGGUGGCUUGGAAAGUUUGAUGUGAAAGCUCAGGGCUCAACCCUGAAAUGGCAUUGAAUACUAUCGAGCUGGAGGUUUGGAGGGGGGACUGGAAUUCUUGGUGUAGCAGUGAAAUGCGUAGAUAUCAAGAGGAACACCAGUGGCGAAGGCGAGUCCCUGGACAACACCUGACACUGAGGCACGAAAGCCGGGGGAGCGAACGGG
This 253-nucleotide ribosomal RNA is filed under the name uncultured bacterium. RNAcentral's name for it is "partial 16S ribosomal RNA". It matches the Rfam family "Bacterial small subunit ribosomal RNA", at positions 524 to 776 of the family's 1533-position model. The record is from RNAcentral.